Macaca mulatta (Rhesus monkey) is the source of this 256-nucleotide long non-coding RNA. The record is from Ensembl. Lineage: Eukaryota; Metazoa; Chordata; Mammalia; Primates; Cercopithecidae.
GUGUUCUGACCAUUUUUCUUUUAAUCAUUCAGUUUUAAGAUGCUGAACCCUUUAACAGUUCAGGAUUAAUAGUAAUUACUCUACAAUCCCGUACAGAGCUGACUUGAGCAACACUGGAAAGAAAGUAAGUAGCGAAAAUACUAUUCUCAGAAAGUAUCUUCAACCAAGGACCUCUUCAAGGAGAACUACAAACCACUGCUCAAUGAAAUAAAAGAGGACACAAACAAAUGGAAGAACAUUCCAUGCUCAUGGAUAG